UUUACUUAAAUUAUUUAGUCGAGUCCUGAAUCAGUUGAUUAAUUUGAAUAAUGAUUUAAUGGUCUGAUUAGUUAGACUCUAUAAUUUGAGUUUGAUUGAUUAUUUUUAUGUGUGUAAUUAUUUACUUUAUGUGACUUUUGAUAUAAAUUUUGCAUGGUAAAUAAUGUAAUAAAAGUAUUUUGAUAAAUUCGAUUUUUUUUAAAGAUAUCCAAUUUUUACAAUAAUAUAUAUAUAAUAUAAGCAAUGAUAUCGUAUGUAUAUUAGCUAUUAAGAUUAGAUUAUCUUGUAGGUCACUUGAAGAAGGAAUUAGCAUUGCUUUUACAAGAAGAGAAUUAGUACAUCUUUAUCUACAGGCUUGUUCUAUCAAGUGGUUUUUAUUUUCCAAUGUAUGUUUUGAGUUAUUGAGCUCUAAAUUUUUAUGCAAAUGCAAAGGAAUGUCCAUGUUAAAAUGAUUUUAUCUCUCUAUUGUUUAAAGUGUUCCUAUGUUCUCUAACGAUCGGGUCCUAGUCGGCGUAGCGAUUGGAUCCCCUGGUUAGGAUUGUGUACACACAAAGGGGUAUUGUGGGGUGCUCCCACUUGCCUCAGACUGUCAGACUUGGGCUGCUCCCAUUUUUGAAACAUGCAUGGUAGUGGACCUCUGUGGGCUGCUCCCACAUGUUCACAUUAUAGGUGAAGCACCAAUUGAGAGAAGACUGAAAAUGGAUCCACAAUUUAUUUUAUGUAUGCAUAGAAUGCUUUCAAAUAUUUCUAUGUUAUACUGUUCAUAGCAUGGAUUAUUCUUUUAAAUGGAUUUUUUUUCAAAUGUUUUCAAAUGGCUAAACCCACUGAGUAUACUAGUGCUCAGCCCUGCAAUUGUUUUCAAAACCUUUUGCAGGUUGAGCGGCAGAUGGUGUCGUGCGAAGCUGAGGAAGGGUGUUGCUGUAUUUCCAAAUAAAUGUCAAGAAUAAAUUCCGCUGCCAUAAUAUUCGCUAAGGUGGAUAUUAUUUAAGAUUGGCUAUUUUAAUAUUCAUAGCCUAUUUAAUAUGAACUCCAGUUGUCAUCGAUUUCCUAGCAAUUAUUCCUCGCAUAUAAUAUUCGCUUAGUAUUAAAUGUUAUCUUAUUGUCUCUGACCUCCGAACUUUUGAUCCUGGUUGGGAGAAUUUCUAUCUUAAUUGUCGUAUUUAUUAUCCUUCAAUUGUGACAUUCCUUUAUUAUGAAUGUGUUACCCAAAUCUAAGGGCAUAUUACCUAU
RNAcentral lists this long non-coding RNA (1230 nucleotides) under Salvia miltiorrhiza (redroot sage). RNAcentral's name for it is "long non-coding RNA (SMIL_LNC004241)". Lineage: Eukaryota; Viridiplantae; Streptophyta; Magnoliopsida; Lamiales; Lamiaceae. The record is from RNAcentral.